Molecule: ribosomal RNA, 484 nt
Filed under: uncultured bacterium
Lineage: Bacteria
Description: partial 16S ribosomal RNA
Rfam family: Bacterial small subunit ribosomal RNA
Source: RNAcentral
AUUGAACGCUGGCGGCAGGCCUAACACAUGCAAGUCGAGCGGAUGAAGGGAGCUUGCUCCUGGAUUCAGCGGCGGACGGGUGAGUAAUGCCUAGGAAUCUGCCUGGUAGUGGGGGAUAACGUCCGGAGACGGGCGCUAAUACCGCAUACGUCCUGAGGGAGAAAGUGGGGGAUCUUCGGACCUCACGCUAUCAGAUGAGCCUAGGUCGGAUUAGCUAGUUGGUGGGGUAAAGGCCUACCAAGGCGACGAUCCGUAACUGGUCUGAGAGGAUGAUCAGUCACACUGGAACUGAGACACGGUCCAGACUCCUACGGGAGGCAGCAGUGGGGAAUACUGGACAAAGGGCGAAAGCCUGAUCCAGCCAUGCCGCGUGUGUGAAGAAGGUCUUCGGAUUGUAAAGCACUUUAAGUUGGGAGGAAGGGCAGUAAGUUAAUACCUUGCUGUUUUGACGUUACCAACAGAAUAAGCACCGGCUAACUUCGUG